Long non-coding RNA from Amblyraja radiata (thorny skate), 846 nucleotides. RefSeq lists it as uncharacterized. The record is from RefSeq and is a predicted model, not a curated record. Lineage: Eukaryota; Metazoa; Chordata; Chondrichthyes; Rajiformes; Rajidae. The transcript is spliced from 3 exons.
UCUAUCUAGAGGGCAAUUUGCUACAAGAGUUGCCAGAGGAAUUAUUUGAUCACCUGCCACAGCUUGUCUGGUUAGACUUACGAAAGAAUAAACUGGAGAAACUGCCUGCUGCCAUUGGAAAGCACAGAUGUCUUCGAGCACUACUUUUGGAGACAAAUCCACUUAGAGAGUUACCUAUUGAACUAGGAAAUGUACAAUCCCUUAAAGCACUUAAUCUGAGGAACUGUCCACUCCAAUUUCCACCUUCGGAAGUAGUGAAUUUAGGCACACAAGUUAUUCUUUCCUUUCUUCGGGAGCAAGCUUGUAAACCUCUUCUUCAAACUCUAAAUAUAGAAACAGGUAGCACUUGAAAAUCUAUAAUUAUUUUUAAUUUUCAGAAUUUAAGUAGACAGUUUCAAAAGGACAAUUUAAUGUAUAUUUUUGAUCACAAAAGCUAUUGUAUAGAAAAUGAAAUCCUGCUGCUUCACAUGUCUGGAUUAAUGAUAAUACAAAUUACAUGAGACAAUCCUUUUAUCAAACAUCAAUCUGAACAUUCCGUUCAGCAUACUAUUCAAACCGUUUAUAUUCUGUAGCCAAACCCAUUACAUUUGGAGUUGGUACCUUUCUAAAAGAAUUUGGGACAAAAGCUAAGCAAUGUUUUUAAAAUAAACCGUGCAAUGAUUCAAUAUCAGAAGAGAUCAGCAAGAAUUAAUAGUUAUCUGAAUGAUGCAACAAAUAGCAGUAAAUUAGAGAUGGGUGGCAUAAACAGUGAAAUUCUACUUAUUUGAGUGCACAAAAAAUGGGAAGUAAUUGAACAACACUGUGGGCAGCACCUUAGUGCAGCUAUUAGAGCAGCUGACUCACAUU